RNAcentral lists this long non-coding RNA (1329 nucleotides) under Homo sapiens (human). RNAcentral's name for it is "ADGRB3 divergent transcript". The record is from RNAcentral. Lineage: Eukaryota; Metazoa; Chordata; Mammalia; Primates; Hominidae.
AGAGGCUCGGCUCGCGCGGCGCGGCCGCUGCGACUUCCUGGAGUUCUGCCUGCCGGGGGCGCGGGCGGACCUGUCGCAGCCAGAGAGCUGUCAUUUCAGUACCGGGAUUCAGAAUUGAUCCAGUCCGCAGCGGAGGGGGCACAUCCCAGCUACCGAGCUGCUGAGUGUCUCUGGCUGGAACAAUAGUAUUUUUUUCUCUGCGAGGCUGCAAUUAACAUCUUAUUUGUUCUGGCUCCAUACAGGCUUUGUCAGGAUCGCGGUGCGGCGACCGACGUUGGGCUCUUGCAUUGCUUUGUGCUUGGCAAUGGAAUCAUGGUUUCGGGGUCUAAACUUUUGUUUCGUUUUGUAGUCUUAAUGUAUCUGAUUCUUUUUCAAGUUUCCCUAGUAACAGGUUUGGGGACGGGGUGGGAAGAAGCGAGAAAAGGGGUGAAGAGAAAAAACCAGAUUAUAUAGAAAGGAAAAAGGGAAAAGGGAUGUUUCCCCACCUUUUAAUCUAACUAUCUAUCUGUCUGUCUAUCUAUCAUCAUAGAUAGUCAUUUUGCCUCCUGGACAGUUGGCUGACGAAGUGUCUGAUAAACCAGCUUCAGAUACAUGCUACAAAAGGCUACUGAGCUGGCCUGAUGAUGAUCCUUCUGAGAUAUAUUUAUAGCAGAUGAUUUGUGGAUGAUAACUACGCCAAGCAAGACACUGUCUCCAGUAACCCCAGGCUCGUCUGACUUCCUCAGGGGAUUAUAAUAAAGAAUCACAAAAAGAACCCUAUAUGGACAGUCUGGUCUCUGGACACUAACAACAGCACAAUCCAAAGGCAAAGAAAGGAGGAACCACCUUGUUUCAUGUCUGCAAGCUGCUCCAUAUGAAAGCAUUGCUGACAUGUUGACCCAACAGCAAAAAGAGAGCAGCAGUUUACACACCCUCAGCUCUCUGUCCUUUCCUUUCUAUUGAUGUUGGUCCACUUUUAUGACUGAAUACAUAUUAAAAUCACCAUUUCAAAUUAUAAUUAUCUGCUUUCAUUGGUCUCUUUCACAAGUCUAUGUCUAUAUUUAUGUUUACAUAUAUAAACACAUAUACACAUAUUUUAUACAUACAUAUGUAUAUGUAUGCACGCAUUAUUUGUAAGUACACAUACACGUGUGUGUAUAUAUAUGUAUAUGAUAUGUAUAUGUGUAUUUCAGUUGAUACACAUAUAUUUGCUUGGGAAGUUUCACUACAUUGCUUUGUAUUUCUCUUUUAUAAGGUAAUGCAUUUAAUUCCAAAACUACCACAUUAAUUGUAUAAAUUGAUUAUUACAUAAGUUUCCUUGAUGAUUUACAGAAGAACUAUUGAGAGGUC